AACUUUCAGCAAUGGAUCUCUUGGCUCUCGCAUCGAUGAAGAACGCAGCGAAAUGCGGUAAGUAAUGUGAAUUGCAGAAUUCAGUGAAUCAUCGAAUUUUUGAACGCACCUUGCGCUCCCUGGUAUUCCGGGGAGCAGGCCUGUUCGGAUGUCGUGAAAUUCUCAAACUGAGAUGCUUUUUUGUAUCUCGGCUUGGUGUUGGGCUUUGCAGUCUCCUUUGAUUGUGAUGGCUGGCCUCAAAAGCAUUACCUGGCUUUUCAUGUGGCAUUGGUACUAUUCAGCGAGAUAAUGAUCUGACCGCCGAGGACAUCUUUCGAGAUGGCGAAUUGUCAUUUGGGGUGCUUCAAAUCUUGGUCGAGCAGCUGCUGACUCUGUUCCACUUUUCAACUUUUGACCUCGAAUCAGGUGGGACUACCCGCUGAACUUAAGCAUAUCAAUAAGCGGAGGCU
This 449-nucleotide unclassified non-coding RNA is filed under the name uncultured Clavulina. RNAcentral's name for it is "sequence contains ITS2". The stretch from base 1 to 154 matches the Rfam family "5.8S ribosomal RNA". Lineage: Eukaryota; Fungi; Basidiomycota; Agaricomycetes; Cantharellales; Hydnaceae. The record is from RNAcentral.